AAUUGAAUAUAAACUAAGGUGUAUUUUUCCUAUGGGUUUUUUAUUUCCAUCCAUAGUGUGAGAUACACUUAUCUUAAUACUAUGUAAUCAUCAAUCUUGUGAAAUGGAGAGAAACAGAUACUUUCAUUUUUCAGUCAUUAAUAUGACUUUCUGUCUGAGUCAGAACCUCUGUAACAUAUAGUAUAGAAUUCAGUGUUCCAUCUUCUAGUCAGUGGAGAGAAAUUAUAAAAUUUAAAGAAUAUGACAAAAUAUAGAAAACAGUAUUAGAUUGUAAAUAUUGAAAACAAUCUACAGUCAAUGGGUUAACACUGAGAUUGAAAUGCAUAUUCAUAAUGAAUGCAAAGCAGAAGUGUUCAGAAAUUGGUAUCUAUUUGUACAGAUAGAAAACUUCUCAUAUUCAAUACAGAAACUCCUUUACUUUUUUCUAGUAUACAUACUUGUUUCCAACAUCAUCAUAUUUAAAGAAAAACUGUACAAACUAAUAAAAUAAUAAAUACAUUUUAAUGGUGUAGGAAACAAUUGAUUUAAUUUCCACAGCUCUGUGGUUGUUUUAAUCAGAGCUGGAUUUAAAAAGGAGCCUAGAAACAGAUAUUUUCUGAAUAAAAAUAUAUUUGUUCUUAUGAGACACUUUUCAGCUCUGCUGUGAGCUAAAAAGAAAAAUGGGAAUUCUUGCAUAGAAAUUUCAAUUGCUCAUUUUGCUGUUGAGCUCUGAGAAAUGUCUAAAAAUCACAAAUUGAUUCUUCAUAAGUUCUACAUAUCUCAAUGCACGGGGCUGAACUUAGUGUGGUUAAUUUGGUACGUAUAUGUAUGAGAAAUAACAACAUUAAUAAUAUAAAUUAAUCUGGAUGAUUCAUGUAGAUUUAACAUGUUGCUGUUCUAAUUUAUGAAGUAAGGAAAGUGUUAAGUAUAACUAUUUCUUACAUUACAUCAUUACAUCAGAUAAAAUUUAUUCAAAAAGCAUAUUUUGUUUUUUAGUGAAUAUAGAAAAUACAAAAACAGUAAAAUAUUUCCUUUUCAACUUCGAUAUUCUGCAAUUAUAUUAAGUUUUAAAUCUAUAUUCUCUUUAGAAGAUAUGGAUGUUUCCUUUUUUUUUUUUUCCCCCAAUGUCUAUGUUCAUGCCACUAAAAGGUAUGUAAAGAUGACAACUCAUAGGUUUGCAUUCUAAGAUUAUUACUUAAGCUAUGUACUAGAUAAUCAAUGGACACUAAGCAAACAGAACUAUAUUUCUGUACUUUAGAAAAAAAUAUAAACAUACAUCUUUGAGCAUUCUCAGUAGAUUAAUUUAAGCGGCAUAAUAACUAGAAACUUCUUUCAGUUUCUCCUAGAUUGGCUUGUAGUCUAUCAGUGCAGCAAGAGCUCUUGCCACUGAAAACUGAGGCGAAGAUGUCAUUGAGCAUCUCAGCUUUCUCCACACAUGAUGUAGCUGAAAGAAACACAGUGAAGAAUGGCUGAGUUAAUUUCUGAAUUAGUUGAUUUUUAUAAUAGGAGGACAUUUAAAUAAGCAGAUAAAAACAAUUGAGCCUUUUUUAAAAAAAGUAUUUAAUUAAUUAAUUAACUAAUUAAUUAAUUAAUUUGUGGCUGAAAUUAGAUGAAUUUUCACAUUAAAAUUCUGUUCAGUCCCAGCAGGUUCUUCUUCCAAUCUACUUACUGAAAUUCCAUAUUCACCACAAAUAGACCUUACAAGUUCUAUUCAAGAGUGAUACUCCUUACACAGAACUUCUAUGUCUUUGUUUUCUGACUUAAAGAUAAUUUGUAUGUAUUUGUACAUGACAUAUAUGUACAGGGUAUGUUCUACCCUCCUUUCUCUAUGUUUCAUGUAAAUCUUCUAUAGUGCAGCUGGCAAUCCCCUUUUACUCUACCAAGUAAGGCUUUUUUCCUGAAAGCUCGGGCACUUGAUGAAUCUUGUUCUUAAAGAGAAAGAGGAUAGGAGAGCAAAAGAAAGCAAAGGAGGGAUUGCUGUUUGCUUAGGUGCUUCUCCCAGUGAAAAGAGACUGCAAAUUUCAGGACUUAAAAUCACUGUGUUUGCACAUUAGGAACAUCUUAAUUUCUGUGGCUGUCCUAAUUUCUUCUAAAGUCAGAAGAGUUUGUUGAAACUUUUUUGCAAUAAAAGUACACAGAAGGAAAAUAGCAAAUUAACAUUCUCUGAUAAUUUUAUGUUUUAAUGACAUUUUGAGUUCAAAAGAAUCAAAACAGUCAAUGAAGUGGAGACUGCAUUUUUAAAUCAAUAAUUCUGAUAAGAAGUGUGAUUUCAACAUGUCCAACUAUCCUUUCAGCAAAACUGCUAAAAUUUUGUGCCAACAUUCUUAUUUCCAAAUUUCUGGAAGCUCAAGUUCAUAAGGAAUAAUUGAUAUAAAAACUGUUUGUACAUACAGAGGACAAAAUGAUUUCAAGGUGUCCAGGGAAAGGAAAAUUUAGCUUUUUAGAAUAAUUUUGGAUAGCAAUGUUCACAUUUAAAGUAUUCAAUUUCUUGCUAUGUGUAGGAAAUGAAUCCUGUUAUGGACAUACAUGAGGAACAGCAGUGCUACUUUUAAUUAAUCUUCAGAGCUAUUAAACAGAUCAGUGAAAAUCACUUCUGAAUUUAUCACACAUUAUGUUGUUCCUAAAAUUGCUACUGAAUACCUCUCUAUCUGGAUUCAUACCACCAUGACAUGGAGGCUGAAGCUGUGACCUAAGAAUCAGGUAGGAGCUGCUAUUUAAUUGGGAUGAGGAUGUCUAGUAGCACUGAAGAGUUUGACAACACAGAGUUUAGAGAGAAAUUCUAUCUUGGGGAAAAACAGUACAAUUCAUCAAAAGAUGACAGUU
This is a long non-coding RNA of Gallus gallus (chicken), 2802 nucleotides long. The record is from Ensembl. Lineage: Eukaryota; Metazoa; Chordata; Aves; Galliformes; Phasianidae.